UCUCAAGAAAAAAUCUUUCAUGAUCCAUUCCGGAAUUGGAUAGAGAAUAGUUGGGAUAUUCCAUUCCACUGGGAGGGAGAGGCGAGGGUGACAUCAGAAAUAGGAUCGUCGAACGGAUAGCAGCAUCGCAUUGAGAAUUGACUCGUUGGAUUAACCACUUAGACGGCUACGACUGCACAACGACUAUAAAGGUGACUAAGGAUAACACCCUUGUUUCUAGCCAGCUCCUCUAGUUGAAAGAGAAUCCCCCUUUCCUUAUCUAUCGUCAACUGACUUAUGAGCUAACCUUGUUAGCCUCCUAUUCAUAGUAUCUACUCUAGUGUUUACUUGUGAUGCUUACCUUAAAUUACCUACGGUAAUUUACUGAGUUAUAACAAUUUUUUACUUGUAAACCUAUGGUAAUAUAAGGAGUUAUAACAAUUAUACUAUAGUUUUGCCUGUCUCAGUAAUUGGUAACACCUUAUCAUAUUUCCAAUUUCCUUGGAUGUAGUUAUAGCUGCUUUCGUUCUUUCUUUCAUUCCUAUCUUACUUAAGUGCUUCCAUGGCGAGCGAAUAAGAUACUUUCUAUAUCGAUAGAAAAAAUAGGUAUGAUCCAUAGGCUCUCAUAUGGCUUUAAUAAGAAAAGUAUAAGUCUUGUAAUAGGGAUGACUUUUAGAGACCUACUCAACGGGGAUAACCUCCCGGGUAGAGAGAAAGGUAAACGGGAAAAUGGGGAAACUAUACUUAUGUCAUUCCUGAGUGAAUAUUCUUUAUAUAAAAUAAAAGGUCACCCAUAAGAACUGUUCUUGCCGGACCGUAGUCCCCAUCAAUCAAAGUCUCCGUUGGCCUAUUCCAAUCCUUUCUCCCAUCUCCCUUGAGAAAAACUAUUCCCUACUUUCGCUUACGUUGGUUUGGCCUACGAGUAGUUCUUUUCAGCUUCCUUACGCGUUGCGUUGGUUUGUUAGUU
Molecule: long non-coding RNA, 946 nt
Filed under: Gossypium barbadense (sea-island cotton)
Lineage: Eukaryota; Viridiplantae; Streptophyta; Magnoliopsida; Malvales; Malvaceae
Description: long non-coding RNA (GBAR_LNC000315)
Source: RNAcentral